CAAACAUUCACGUACAAUAUACAGGAGUAGCGGCUGUGUAAAGGCUUAUCUGGGGGUUACGGUGCAUGAACAUUUACACCUCACAUGAGCUGGAGAGAUGGAGCCUGGAGUCCGGAAAAGACAAAGAGGAGAUUGACAAGAAGGACUACUAUGGGAAGACACCUCUCUACUGGGCAGCCUACAAGGAUCAGAAGGCCUCCAUGCAGCUGCUCUUGAACAUGGUACAGUUGUGAACACACAGUGCAAACAUGGGAGCACACCUGUGCAUGCUACGGUGGGUCUCUUCCCCAAGCGCACUCUGCUUCUCAUACAGGUGAGACAGGUGUGAUCAGGAUGGCACACGAGGACAAAGUGUUUCAUUAGGAAAAACUUUGUGACGUCCACACAGAUUAUCAUAACGUUAUUUUCUGAGCUGUACCUCAUUGUGUUGGUCACCUUGGAGUCGUCGGCUAAACAAAGGUUAAUAGUAAUCGUCAUGUAGGAUAUAAUCCAUGUUUUUCCCACGUCUACCUGCAGCAUGGAGCAGGUGUGGACCUCCCGGACAGCUGGGGAGUCACACCUAUGUACCUGGCAGCGUGCAGUGGGCAGGUUGAGUGCAUACAGUUGCUAGUUCAAGCUGAAGCCAAGAUCUUCUACAAGAAGAAGAAGACUGGCGAGGCCCCAAAGCAGCUGUCUUUCAGGCCCACGCUUUUGACCUGGCUGGAGAACCUGGUGCGACAGCCACAUUCUCUCAAGCACCAGUGUCGGCAGGCAGUUCGCCGUGCCCUUGGCCCUGCUCGAAUUCAAACCCUUGGCUCCUUUGCCCUCCCACUGACCCUUAGGGAAUACCUUAUGUUCCAGGACUUGCAGAUCCCUAACAUAGUGGGGCAAGGUGAGGCAGGAGAGCACAGGGUAGCACACAGGGGGAGUUAAAUAAAAACUAUUUUCAACGGAACA
This 936-nucleotide long non-coding RNA is filed under the name Scleropages formosus (Asian bonytongue). Its description in RNAcentral is "lncRNA (ENSSFOG00015024551.1)". Lineage: Eukaryota; Metazoa; Chordata; Actinopteri; Osteoglossiformes; Osteoglossidae. The record is from RNAcentral.